AGAGCGGAUGAUCGCGGCUGCAGGUUCCGCAAGGACGCAGACGAGGAAAGUCCGGGCUUCGCAGGGCAGGAUGCCGGAUAACGUCCGGUAGAGGCGACUCUCAGGCCAGUGCAACAGAAAAGAACCGCCGGCCGUGUGCCGGUAAGGGUGAAAAGGCAGUGUAAGAGACUACCGCUGCCAUGGUAACAUGGCAGGCUGUGUAAACCCCAUCCGAAGCAAGACCAAAACGAAGGCAAUUGCCUUGCCCGGGCAGUCUUCAGGUAGGUCGCUCGAGGCCGCCGGCAACGGCGGCCCUAGACAGAUGAUCAUCACGGGACCCACGGUCCUUUGACAGAACCCGGCUUACAGCUCUGCUUAU
RNAcentral lists this RNase P RNA (358 nucleotides) under bovine gut metagenome. RNAcentral describes it as "Bacterial RNase P class A". It matches the Rfam family "Bacterial RNase P class A". From Rfam's summary of the family: Ribonuclease P (RNase P) is a ubiquitous endoribonuclease, found in archaea, bacteria and eukarya as well as chloroplasts and mitochondria. Its best characterised activity is the generation of mature 5'-ends of tRNAs by cleaving the 5'-leader elements of precursor-tRNAs. Cellular RNase Ps are ribonucleoproteins. The record is from RNAcentral.